Molecule: small nucleolar RNA, 76 nt
Organism: Xenopus tropicalis (tropical clawed frog)
Lineage: Eukaryota; Metazoa; Chordata; Amphibia; Anura; Pipidae
Source: Ensembl
AAGAUGCAUGUGAUGAAAACAUAGUUCAGCUGACCUUUUGUGAAGAUCAGUCUUUCGCUCCUAUCUGAUGUAUCUU